UACGUAGGGUGCAAGCGUUAAUCGGAAUUACUGGGCGUAAAGCGUGCGCAGGCGGUUAUGUAAGACAGGUGUGAAAUCCCCGGGCUUAACCUGGGAACUGCAUUUGUGACUGUAGAGCUGGAGUACGGCAGAGGGGGAUGGAAUUCCGCGUGUAGCAGUGAAAUGCGUAGAUAUGCGGAGGAACACCGAUGGCGAAGGCAAUCCCCUGGGCCUGUACUGACGCUCAUGCACGAAAGCGUGGGGAGCAAACAGG
RNAcentral lists this ribosomal RNA (253 nucleotides) under uncultured bacterium. RNAcentral describes it as "partial 16S ribosomal RNA". It matches the Rfam family "Bacterial small subunit ribosomal RNA", at positions 524 to 776 of the family's 1533-position model. The record is from RNAcentral.